AGAAUCAACGCUGGCGGCGUGCCUAACACAUGCAAGUCGCACGAGAAAGGGGAGCAAUCCCUGAGUACAGUGGCGCACGGGUGAGUAACACGUGAAUAAUCUACCUCCGAGUGGGGAAUAACUGAGAGAAAUCUUAGCUAAUACCGCAUAACACUUACGAGUCAAAGCAGCAAUGCGCUUGGAGAGGAGUUCGCGGCCGAUUAGUUAGUUGGCGGGGUAAUGGCCCACCAAGACGAUGAUCGGGUA
RNAcentral lists this ribosomal RNA (246 nucleotides) under uncultured bacterium. Its description in RNAcentral is "partial small subunit ribosomal RNA". It matches the Rfam family "Bacterial small subunit ribosomal RNA", at positions 26 to 286 of the family's 1533-position model. The record is from RNAcentral.